GAUGGCGGAUUAAGUCAACUCUGUUAAUCU
RNAcentral lists this non-coding RNA (30 nucleotides) under Rattus norvegicus (Norway rat). Lineage: Eukaryota; Metazoa; Chordata; Mammalia; Rodentia; Muridae. The record is from RNAcentral.